Molecule: ribosomal RNA, 724 nt
Filed under: uncultured bacterium
Lineage: Bacteria
Description: bacterial SSU rRNA
Rfam family: Bacterial small subunit ribosomal RNA
Source: RNAcentral
CCCUUAGAGUUUGAUCCUGGCUCAGAACGAACGCUGGCGGCGUGGAUAAGACAUGCAAGUCGAACGGGGCAUUGUGAGUAGCAAUACAAGCAAUGUUCAGUGGCGAACGGGUGCGUAACACGUGGAUACAUUCCGGGAAGCGGGGGAUAGCCCAGGGAAACUUGGAUUAAUACCGCAUGUGGUCGAAAGACUAAAGACGGGGACCGCAAGGCCUGUCACUUCCCGAUUGGUCCGCGGCCUAUCAGCUAGUUGGCGGGGUAAAGGCCCACCAAGGCUACGACGGGUAGCUGGUCUUAGAGGACGACCAGCCACACUGGAACUGAGACACGGUCCAGACACCUACGGGUGGCAGCAGUCGAGAAUCUUUCACAAUGGGGGCAACCCUGAUGGAGCGACGCCGCGUGGAGGAUAAGGUCUUCGGAUUGUAAACUCCUGUCAUGCGUGAACAAGGCUGCGAGGUUAAUACCUUUGCAGAUUGAUGGUAGCGCAAGAGGAAGAGACGGCUAACUCUGUGCCAGCAGCCGCGGUAAUACAGAGGUCUCAAGCGUUGUUCGGAAUCACUGGGCGUAAAGGGUGCGUAGGUGGCGUGGUAAGUCAGAUGUGAAAGCCUGGGGCUCAACCUCAGAAUUGCAUCCGAUACUGCUGUGCUAGAGUACUGGAGGGGUGACUAGAAUUCUCGGUGUAGCAGUGAAAUGCGUAGAUAUCGAGAGGAAUACCAAAGCGU